Molecule: ribosomal RNA, 198 nt
Filed under: uncultured bacterium
Lineage: Bacteria
Description: partial 16S ribosomal RNA
Rfam family: Bacterial small subunit ribosomal RNA
Source: RNAcentral
ACGCUCGACACCUACGGGAGGCAGCAGUGGGGAAUAUUGCACAAUGGGGGAAACCCUGAUGCAGCGAUGCCGCGUGAAGGAAGAAGUAUCUCGGUAUGUAAACUUCUAUCAGCAGGGAAGAAAAUGACGGUACCUGACUAAGAAGCCCCGGCUAACUACGUGUCAGCAGCCGCGGUAAUCUGAGCGGGCUGGCAAGGC